ACCGGAGUACUAUGAAUACUGUAAAUUUAAAACUCAAAGAACUUGGCGGUGUUUUAGACCACUCAGGGGAACCUGUCUCGUAAUCGACAAUCCACGUUGUACCUGACCUUUCUUUGUUCUCAGUUUGUAUACCGUUGUCGUCAGGUAACUUUUUAGAAUGUAGAAGUUGGCUGGAAAAAUAAAUAAUUUAGUACGUCAAAUCAAGGUGCAGCUAACAGAAAGGGGAGGAUGGGUUACAAUUAUUCAUUUAUAAUUACGGAUUAUUAUGUUAAAGCGUAAGGAUAAGAAGGAGGACUUGAAAGUAAAUUAAAUUUAUAAGAAUAAAUUUGAAUAAGGCUCUGAAACGUGU
RNAcentral lists this ribosomal RNA (349 nucleotides) under Terebra funiculata. RNAcentral describes it as "partial 12S ribosomal RNA". The record is from RNAcentral. Lineage: Eukaryota; Metazoa; Mollusca; Gastropoda; Neogastropoda; Terebridae.